This 760-nucleotide ribosomal RNA is filed under the name Pulvinaria citricola. Its description in RNAcentral is "partial large subunit ribosomal RNA". It matches the Rfam family "Eukaryotic large subunit ribosomal RNA", at positions 394 to 869 of the family's 3401-position model. The record is from RNAcentral. Lineage: Eukaryota; Metazoa; Arthropoda; Insecta; Hemiptera; Coccidae.
AGUACGUGUAACCGUUCAGGGGUAAACCUGAGAAACCCAAAAGAUCGAAUGGGGAGAUUCAGCGUUCGUACGACGUCUGGCUUUCGUGCGGCUCGCGAUGCUCGUGUGCUUCGGUGCACGGGCACGCAGUCGCUGCGGCAUGACCGGCGUCGUCGGCGUGCACUUCUCCCCUAGUAGGACGUCGCGACCCGUUGGGCGUCGGCCCAAGGCUCGUACGGUAGACUGUCGCGCUCCUGGCGCGUCAGACCCUCGAUCGCCCGGCCGACUGCUCGGCGGUAUUGAAUGCUUUAACAAUGGUAUAGGGCCGCAUCGAAUGCGUUCGGCUCGUCGGCAGGCUCGUCUCGCUCGGAUUUACGGACCUAGCGCCGUUGCUGGGCGCUUGACGUGGCUGUUCUCGCCGACGAUGAUCUCGAACUGGCUCUGGGGAGAGAGCUCGCUCUUUCCUCUUUUAAAAUACCUGUCUGCGACGCUUUUGCUUUGGGUACUUUCAGGACCCGUCUUGAAACACGGACCAAGGAGUCUAACAUGUGCGCGAGUCAUUGGGACUUGUUUUUAAGCCUAAAGGCGCAAUGAAAGUGAAGAUCCGGCAGGCUUCGGCCUCAGCCGAUCGAGGGAUGACGGCUCGCGUCACGAUGCGAGCCCGCACUCCCGGGGCGUCUCUAGCUCAUUGCGAGCGGAGGCGCACCAAGAGCGUACACGUUGGGACCCGAAAGAUGGUGAACUAUGCCUGGUCAGGACGAAGUCAGGGGAAACCCUGAUG